Molecule: microRNA, 22 nt
Filed under: Homo sapiens (human)
Lineage: Eukaryota; Metazoa; Chordata; Mammalia; Primates; Hominidae
Description: hsa-miR-6729-5p
Source: miRBase by way of RNAcentral
UGGGCGAGGGCGGCUGAGCGGC